AGUGAACGCUGGCGGUAGGCCUAACACAUGCAAGUCGAACGGCAGCACAGUAAGAGCUUGCUCUUACGGGUGGCGAGUGGCGGACGGGUGAGGAGUACAUCGGAAUCUACUUUUUCGUGGGGGAUAACGUAGGGAAACUUACGCUACUACCUCAUACGUCCUACGGGUGAAAGCAGGGGAUCUUCGGACCUUGCGCGAUUCAAUGAGCCGAUGUCGGAUUAGCUAGUUGGCGGGGUAAAGGCCCACCAAGGCGACGAUCCGUAGCUGGUCUGAGAGGAUGAUCAGCCACACUGGAACUGAGACACGGUCCAGACUCCUACGGGAGGCAGCAGUGGGGAAUAUUGGGCAAUGGGCGCAAGCCUGAUCCAGCCAUACCGCGUGAGUGAAGAAGGCCUUCGGGUUGUAAAGCCCUUUUGUUGGGAAAGAAAAGAAGCAGGUUAAAACCCCGCUGUUCUGACGGUACCCAAAGAAUAAGCAACGGCUAACUUCGUG
Molecule: ribosomal RNA, 492 nt
Filed under: uncultured bacterium
Lineage: Bacteria
Description: partial 16S ribosomal RNA
Rfam family: Bacterial small subunit ribosomal RNA
Source: RNAcentral